CCUACGGGAGGCAGCAGGGAGGAAUAUUGGUCAAUGGGCGCGAGCCUGAACCAGCCAAGUAGCGUGAAGGAUGACAGCCCGAGGGGUUGUAAACUUCUGUUAGAGGGGAAUAAAGUGCAGUAGGUAGACUGCUGUGCAUGUACCUUAUGAAUAAGGAUCGGCUAACUCCGUGCCAGCAGCCGCGGUAAUACGGAGGAUCCGAGCGUUAUCCGGAUUUAUUGGGUUUAAAGGGAGCGUAGGCGGGUUGUUAAGUCAGUUGUGAAAGUUUGCGGCUAAACCGUAAAAGUGCAGUUGAUACUGGCAUCCUUGCGUACAGUAGAGGUAGGCGGCAUUCGUUGUGUAGCGGU
Molecule: ribosomal RNA, 347 nt
Filed under: uncultured bacterium
Lineage: Bacteria
Description: partial 16S ribosomal RNA
Rfam family: Bacterial small subunit ribosomal RNA
Source: RNAcentral